UGGGGAAUAUUGCACAAUGGGCGCAAGCCUGAUGCAGCAACGCCGCGUGAACGAUGAAGGUCUUCGGAUCGUAAAGUUCUGUUGCAGGGGAAGAUAAUGACGGUACCCUGUGAGGAAGCCCCGGCUAACUACGUGCCAGCAGCCGCGGUAAUACGUAGGGGGCUAGCGUUAUCCGGAUUUACUGGGCGUAAAGGGUGCGUAGGUGGUCUUUCAAGUCGGUGGUUAAAGGCUACGGCUAAACCGUAGUUAGCCUCCGAAACUGGAAGAGUGGAGUGCGGGAGAGGAAAGUGGAAUUCCCAGUGUAGCGGUGAAAUGCGUAGAUAUUGGGAGGAAAAACAGUAGCGAAGGCGGCUUUCUGGACGGCAACUGACAAUGAGGCACGAAAGCGUGGGUAGCAAACAGG
Molecule: ribosomal RNA, 403 nt
Filed under: Verrucomicrobiota bacterium
Lineage: Bacteria; Pseudomonadati; Verrucomicrobiota
Description: Verrucomicrobia bacterium partial 16S ribosomal RNA
Rfam family: Bacterial small subunit ribosomal RNA
Source: RNAcentral